CAGAGGCCGAAGAGAAGAAAUUCCCUUAAGAGGUAAUUUUUACUACAGCCUGUGUGGCCUGCACCAGGAAGACGUCCGCGGUGGGCCCCUGUUUUGAGUGGGUGAGUUCAAGAAAGUUAUCAAGGGUAAGAUCAGGACGCAAGCAACGGCUGCCUUCCUAAACACUACCAGUGUGGAAAAUGGAAAACCAAAGUGAGAAGCAAUAUGUUCAUGAUCUCAUCAAAGCUAAUACUCAGCUAUAAACAGACAAGGAUUCUUUGUGCAUCAUGGCCUGAGCAAACUACUGGAUUCUUGGACUUUCCACUGAGAGACAGCCAUUGUUUGACUAGCUGCAGCACAGCCUAUAAAAGCCACUGGAAUAAAUACCAUUUACAUAUCUGUUCAUUCUAUCAGCUCUGUUCCUCUAGAGAACCCUGACUGAUCCACCGGUCCCCAGCACUCAUGGCGUCUGUAACUCCAGUUUCCAAGGAUCCAACAUGCCCUUCUGGCUUCUGAGCCCGCUGCACACACAUGGUGCAAAGACACAUGU
Long non-coding RNA from Psammomys obesus (fat sand rat), 529 nucleotides. RefSeq lists it as uncharacterized. The transcript has 3 exons. NCBI's taxonomy places the organism in Eukaryota, Metazoa, Chordata, Mammalia, Rodentia, Muridae. The record is from RefSeq and is a predicted model, not a curated record.